Long non-coding RNA from Dendronephthya gigantea, 729 nucleotides. RefSeq lists it as uncharacterized. The transcript has 3 exons. NCBI's taxonomy places the organism in Eukaryota, Metazoa, Cnidaria, Anthozoa, Malacalcyonacea, Nephtheidae. The record is from RefSeq and is a predicted model, not a curated record.
UAGCAUUUUAAGACAGUUUUUGAACAAUUGAAAAAGUCGUCAAAAUUGACCAAAAUGGUAAGGGGUGGUUGCAAGGCCAACGCCAUCCAGAAUAUGGAGUCCUAAUCAUUUUGUUCUAUUAUUGCUAGCCAAGGAACUGCCAACGAUGUCAUUUAUUGUUAUCAGUUAACUGGACUUUGUGAGAGUUUUCUUGCAAAAUGUUUGCCAAGGUGGCGAUCGAAGGUGGACAGCAAGAUCGAAGCUCAACAAGAUUGAAGAUUGUUCGAGGAAGAAGGAGUUCGCCGUUGACUAAAAGGUUUAUCUGAACAGCUAGUUGUCAAGAUGAACGUGAAGAGAAGAAAGAUGAAAUAGAAGACUCGCCCGGCCAAAUUCAAAAUGGCGAUGCCGAAGAAAACCAUCCACGUGGACCGUUCGCGGACCUUUCUGAGCAAGAUUGUUGUGCUGUCUGGUCAAAGUUAAGUAUUUUACUUUGAUGUUUGUGUGCCUUCUGCUAAUUGUUGGCCAGAAAUAACAAGAAGCCAUAUACAAUAUGAAAUAUUCUGCGUACAAGGUUAUUUAAAGUUUCUAGCUUAAUUCUGCCUGCAAUGAUGAUAAUUUUUUACUGAAAAUUUAUGUCAUGAGCAAUUUCCGCACCCAUAGACUGAAGCAGAGCUGAACAUUUUGUCAUUAACGUUUAUCUCAACAGCCAGUUAUCAAGACGAACGUCAAGAGAACAGUUGAAAUAGAAAA